Molecule: ribosomal RNA, 466 nt
Filed under: uncultured bacterium
Lineage: Bacteria
Description: partial 16S ribosomal RNA
Rfam family: Bacterial small subunit ribosomal RNA
Source: RNAcentral
GAUGAACGCUGGCGGCGUGCUUAACACAUGCAAGUCGAACGAUGAAGCCCAGCUUGCUGGGUGGAUUAGUGGCGAACGGGUGAGUAACACGUGAGUAACCUGCCCUUAACUCUGGGAUAAGCCUGGUAAACUGGGUCUAAUACCGGAUAGGAGCGUCCACCGCAUGUUGUGUGUUGGAAAGAUUUAUCGGUUUUGGAUGGACUCGCGGCCUAUCAGCUUGUUGGUGAGGUAAUGGCUCACCAAGGCGACGACGGGUAGCCGGCCUGAGAGGGUGACCGGCCACACUGGGACUGAGACACGGCCCAGACUCCUACGGGAGGCAGCAGUGGGGAAUAUUGCACAAUGGGCGAAAGCCUGAUGCAGCGACGCCGCGUGAGGGAUGACGGCCUUCGGGUUGUAAACCUCUUUCAGUAGGGAAGAAGUGAAAGUGACGGUACCUGCAGAAGAAGCACCGGCUAACUACGUG